ACGAACGCUGGCGGCAUGCCUAACACAUGCAAGUCGAACGAGACCUUCGGGUCUAGUGGCGCACGGGUGCGUAACGCGUGGGAACCUGCCCUUAGGUUCGGAAUAACUCCCCGAAAGGGGUGCUAAUACCGGAUAAUGUCUUCGGACCAAAGAUUUAUCGCCUUUGGAUGGGCCCGCGUUGGAUUAGCUAGUUGGUAGGGUAAAAGCCUACCAAGGCGACGAUCCAUAGCUGGUCUGAGAGGAUGAUCAGCCACACUGGGACUGAGACACGGCCCAGACUCCUACGGGAGGCAGCAGUGGGGAAUAUUGGACAAUGGGCGAAAGCCUGAUCCAGCAAUGCCGCGUGAGUGAUGAAGGCCUUAGGGUUGUAAACCUCUUUUACCCGGGAUGAUAAUGACAGUACCGGGAGAAUAAGCUCCGGCUAACUCCGUG
RNAcentral lists this ribosomal RNA (432 nucleotides) under uncultured bacterium. Its description in RNAcentral is "partial 16S ribosomal RNA". It matches the Rfam family "Bacterial small subunit ribosomal RNA", at positions 29 to 507 of the family's 1533-position model. The record is from RNAcentral.